AAGGGGCGGGGCUGGCGGCAGAGGAGGGGCAGCGGGCGUUCCCGUGGCCGGAAGAGAGGAGCGCGGGGGGCCGGUAGUUUUUACUUUUACUGUCGGUAAGCGGAAUCGUCGUCCCUCCAGUGACCCCGGCCACGGCCCGGGAAAGCAGGCCGGAGUGGCCCGGCCGUCCGGCCCCGCGGAGUCACCGCGACGAGCCGAGUCCCCGUCGUUACUCCCGGUUCCCCUCGCUCACACCCUCCCUUCGCCCCACCGCCCUCUGACACUGUCCUCGCAAACCCCUGAAUGCAGCCUGCUCCCUCUGAGUCCUCUGCACCUGAACCUGAGAGGAGAGGCUUCCGGCCGGGAGGAAUGCACAUCCUGUAGGAUUUCAAUCCAUUCCGAGAUGUCCACGCUCAUUUUUAAUCAGAAUAUGGUGUCUCCUGGCCGAUGUCACACGUGCUCCCGUAAACCGUGUGCAUCCUGCUUUGUUUGGGUGCAAUGCUGUGUCCCGCAGGGAAUUGGCUCACACACUUAUGGAGGCUGAGAAGUCCUGACAUCCUCAAUGAGCAGCAACCUGGACACCCGGGAGAGCCAGUGUUGUAAUUCAGUCUGAGUCCAAGUCCAAAGGCAGGAGAAGACCGAUGGCCCAGCUCGGAGGCAAUCAGGCAAGAGGAACCCCUUCUUACUCAAGGGAGAGUCAGCCUUUUGUUCUGUUCCGGCUUUGGAUGAGGCCUGUCCUCAUCAGGGAGGGUAAUCUGCUUCGUGAACUAAAAUGUUAAUCUUAUGGAGAAACGCCCUUAUAGAAACGCUCAGAACAAUGUUUGGCCAAAUAUACGGGCACCCUGUGGACCAGUCAGGUUGACACAUAAAAUCAGCCAUCACAACUAAGACCGUCGCGUGAGUCAGGAUAGCAGGGUGUUGGCGUGUCCUGGCCUUAGAAGCCAGGAAUGAAUCCUGCUCCAUCACUUACUAGAUUGAAAUCCUGAAAGUGACUGAAUGUGUAUGUGCCUCAGUUUACUCAUUACAAAAGUGGGUAACAAGAUUACCUAUCUCCUAGGGAUCGGGUGAGAAUUGCUUGAAUUCGAACUUGGAAUAAUUGGGUUUUAAAUAUUUCAUGUAGAUAAUUAUUAAGUUCACAUGAAAACAGUUA
Long non-coding RNA from Herpailurus yagouaroundi (jaguarundi), 1129 nucleotides. RefSeq lists it as uncharacterized. The record is from RefSeq and is a predicted model, not a curated record. Lineage: Eukaryota; Metazoa; Chordata; Mammalia; Carnivora; Felidae. The transcript has 2 exons.